Molecule: ribosomal RNA, 274 nt
Filed under: uncultured bacterium
Lineage: Bacteria
Description: partial 16S ribosomal RNA
Rfam family: Bacterial small subunit ribosomal RNA
Source: RNAcentral
CUAAGUUUGAUGGCGACCGGCGCACGGGUGAGUAACACGUAUCCAACCUGCCGAUGACUCGGGGAUAGCCUUUCGAAAGAAAGAUUAAUACCCGAUGGCAUAGUUCUUCCGCAUGGUAGAACUAUUAAAGAAUUUCGGUCAUCGAUGGGGAUGCGUUCCAUUAGGUUGUUGGCGGGGUAACGGCCCACCAAGCCUUCGAUGGAUAGGGGUUCUGAGAGGAAGGUCCCCCACAUUGGAACUGAGACACGGUCCAAACUCCUACGGGAGGCAGCUG